GAUGAACGCUGGCGGCGUGCCUAAUACAUGCAAGUCGAGCGAACAGACGAGGAGCUUGCUCCUUCGACGUUAGCGGCGGACGGGUGUGUAACACGUAGGUAACCUACCUAUAAGACUGGGAUAACUUCGGGAAACCGGCGCUAAUACCGGAUAAUAUUUCGAACCGCAUGGUUCGAUGGUGAAAGAUGGCUUUGCUAUCACUUCUAGAUGGACCUGCGCCGUAUUAGCUAGUUGGUAAGGUAACGGCUUACCAAGGCAAGGAUACGUAGCCGACCUGAUAGGGUGAUCGGCCACACUAGAAGUGAGACAAGGUCCAGACUCCUACGGGAGGCAGCAGUAGGGAAUCUUCCGCAAUGGGCGAAAGCAUGACGGAGCAACGCCGCGUGAGUGAUGAAAGUCUUCGGAGCGUAAAACUCUGUUAUUAGGGAAGAACAAACGUGUAAGUAACUGUGCACGUCUUGACGGUACCUAAUCAGAAAGCCACGGCUAACUACGUG
Molecule: ribosomal RNA, 497 nt
Filed under: uncultured bacterium
Lineage: Bacteria
Description: partial 16S ribosomal RNA
Rfam family: Bacterial small subunit ribosomal RNA
Source: RNAcentral